GCGGGUGUAGUUCAAUGGUAGAACGCAAGCUUCCCAAGCUUGAGACGGGGGUUCGAUUCCCCUCACCCGCUCCA
RNAcentral lists this transfer RNA (74 nucleotides) under Alphaproteobacteria bacterium. Its description in RNAcentral is "tRNA-Gly". It matches the Rfam family "tRNA". Rfam says of the family: Transfer RNA (tRNA) molecules are approximately 80 nucleotides in length. Their secondary structure includes four short double-helical elements and three loops (D, anti-codon, and T loops). Further hydrogen bonds mediate the characteristic L-shaped molecular structure. tRNAs have two regions of fundamental functional importance: the anti-codon, which is responsible for specific mRNA codon recognition, and the 3' end, to which the tRNAs corresponding amino acid is attached (by aminoacyl-tRNA synthetases). tRNAs cope with the degeneracy of the genetic code in two manners: having more than one tRNA (with a specific anti-codon) for a particular amino acid; and 'wobble' base-pairing, i.e. permitting non-standard base-pairing at the 3rd anti-codon position. RNAcentral also lists the same sequence under 1 other name. Lineage: Bacteria; Pseudomonadati; Pseudomonadota; Alphaproteobacteria. The record is from RNAcentral.